UACGUAGGGUGCAAGCGUUGUCCGGAAUUAUUGGGCGUAAAGAGCUCGUAGGCGGUUUGUCGCGUCGAAUGUGAAAACCCGGGGCUCAACCCCGGGCCUGCAUUCGAUACGGGCAGACUAGAGUUCGGUAGGGGAGUCUGGAACUCCUGGUGUAGCGGUGAAAUGCGCAGAUAUCAGGAGGAACACCGGUGGCGAAGGCGGGACUCUGGGCCGAUACUGACGCUGAGGAGCGAAAGCGUGGGGAGCAAACAGG
Molecule: ribosomal RNA, 253 nt
Filed under: uncultured bacterium
Lineage: Bacteria
Description: partial 16S ribosomal RNA
Rfam family: Bacterial small subunit ribosomal RNA
Source: RNAcentral